This is a long non-coding RNA of Struthio camelus australis, 2555 nucleotides long. RefSeq lists it as uncharacterized. Lineage: Eukaryota; Metazoa; Chordata; Aves; Struthioniformes; Struthionidae. The record is from RefSeq and is a predicted model, not a curated record.
GUCUCAUACGCAAAAUCCAGUAAUUCCAACAGGGAGACUAAGAACGCUCCCCGGGUCAUUUCUGCAUUGAGAUAUUGACUAUUAAUCAGCCUGGUAUCAUCAGUUCUGUGCACUGUUUCACUGCGCUGAGGACCACUGUGAGUCACAACUUUGAUACAGACUGGUUAUUGAGUGGAUUUUCAUCCAUUUGUUGAGCAACAACUACGAUGUUUUCAAACAAAGUUGGUGCUCCUAAAUCUUGUUGCUGCGUUGAUGAUCGCCUUUGAAGAAGAUGAAGUCCACCAGCAGAUGGGAGAAAGCAACACACAGGCCUCUGAAGAUUCUCUGGAGAAAGCAUGGUGUGGGAGGAAGCGCUCAUUUUCACAUGCAAACUCUGCUCCAUGCAAAAAAGAUUUCACUGAUGAUGGGAGAGACAGUGGAUCAAAGAUACCGCCUCACUUGAACUGCCCUCAAUUUCCUUGUGUUUACAGUAGAUGAUCUACUGCCUUUCCAGUUCUGUAAAUGGAUCAGAAAAACAUCCCCAUGCUGAAAGAGACUUGAAGGCAUUUGAACUUAGCUGUCUGGCAUAAACUCCAUAGCGAUGUCAGGUGGGUACUGUUCUUCUACUACUACCAUUUGGGUGAGGGUUGGCUGGUUAUUGCAAACCAGGAGUCAUGAGCACUGUGGGAGAGGGCAGUCGAAGAAGGCCUGCUGGAGUAAGCUAUAGGCCUGCACAGGCCAUCAGUGUUGUGCAGGAGGAGGAGAUCUGCAGCGUGAAGCUGUUGGUGCUGAGGGCCUAAUGUCCACAUUAAUGCAUUUUUGAGGUGUUGGACUAGCUCUGGUUUGGUCCCACACAUGCUGCUAGUGGCUGGAGCACGUGGAGGUGCUUCUGCUUUAGUUUCACCUCAAAGCAAUGUGGUUUGUGUGCUUUGAGGCUGCACCAUGGUUUGUCAGGAGAGUUGCUGCAAAAGCGCAUGCCUGAUCUGAACUACAAAUUAUUGUAGACACAGCUGUUAAAAGUCAAGUUUUUAAUCUCAUGAACAAGUAAAUGGAUAUGUAAAAACCUGGGAACAGGAUCUUUGAGCAAGUGGCAAUACUAAUUCUGUGACUUCAUAUUGCUAGCUAAAAUUGAGGCCUGCAAAAGAAUACCUGUUAAAACAUCUUUUACUGUUGUUGACUUGGUAGCAGAUACAAGAGAAAACAGAGAUGUAUUUUCUAGGGCUGAAACAAAAAGAAACAAGGGAAUCAGCAUUAAAGCAAGAGGAUAAGACUCUAGAAACACUACCACAAUAAUGUCUCUCUGAUAGCUGCAGAGAGCAUUUUGACAUAAGCUAUGGUGAAUAAGCCACUGGAUUCAAGACUGCAUGCAUAAAGUAGUUCUAGUCUACACUAUGAUUCGCAAAUGUUUAUAUAUGUGUGUGUGUGUGUGUACAAAUAAAUAAAUUCUCUGAACCAAAAUCUAGUUAUAUGAACUGAAGAAGAGAUGGUUCCUAAACAUGCUCAGGUACAGUAUCGUCGGUUGCCCGACUAAAGAGAUACAGAGGAAUGAGAUUAAGGGACCUGACAGCGCUCUGAGACAAGUGAACUCUAUGUUAUGGUGAGUGUAUCAGCAUAAGGGGGUGAAAAGGAUACCAUAAAGAAAGAAAAACACUGCAUACCUGCUCUAACAGUGUCUCAGAUAAUGUUUACUAUCGUCCCAAAUUUGAAAUGCUGUCAUUUUAAUAAAUGAUGAAAAUUCUGCCUAUUAAGCUAUGUUGUUCGGGUGUCACUGAAGCAACAUGAACUCCUACAAAUCUAAACAGACUUUCAGCAAAACAGAGUUCUCUAAAGCACUAACACAAUUAACUUACCACGUUGUUUUAUUGGGGGAGGGGAAAGCCUUUUAAAAAGUAAUACUUAAGCGUGUUGGUUUUUCUUUUUAAUAUGCAACACUCUCUCACAUCUUGUCUUUGCGGCUAAUCCUUUUUUUUUCUGGGAUGAAGGAAACUAUGAAUGUGGGUUGCUUAAUGGGUUCAAGUUACUUUGUAUUAAUUUGACUGUAAGAUAGCAUUGGAACUACAGUAUCAAGUGAAAAACUUGUGAACUCUAGUUAAGCACAUUUUGAUCCUGGUCAUAUUGGCUGCUUAAAGUGUACUUAAACACAGCUUGAACUGGUUUGGAUUUGUUAAGUUUGCCUCUUCUGUCAUUUCAUUUUUCUGACCUGAUUUGUAUUCCUGCCCUCCAGCUUAAUGUUGCUCAGAAAUCUCUUGUUCUCCUUCACAGUUAGGCAAAUGCCUUUGCUCUUUUUUACCUAAUCUUAAGCUAUUGAUCAGAUCCCUUCAUUAAAUAUUCAUUUUUUUUUAACCUGUCUGGGUCCAUCCCCUACUUUACUUUAAAUAGUGCAGUGCAGACUGACACCAUCUGAGAGUCCUGGCCGACCUUCUCAGCCCACUCCUGUUUCCAAGAGCAGGGCCUUAAACUGAGCCCUAAGGGGCCUGGGCUACUACACAGAUUUUGACUGUAGAAUCCGCAUUCCCAGACACCAGUAUAUUGUCCUUGAGUUCCAUUCCACUUGUUAAAGACUGGUGGCCUGUUAG